CGAGGGAGAUGAGGAGGAUGUGCUGCUGGGGCUGUCCCAGUGGGAGGGGGUGGCGCAAGUGGUGGUGGAGGUACACUGCAUUCAAGGGCGCAUGGAAAGGGUGAAGACGCUGCUGGAGAGCCAUGGCUUCUUGGUGGUGGUUGACCAAGGCUUGGCGCCAAACACCGCCAUGAUCUAUGCUGCUCGCGAAGACAGGCUCCUCGGUGUAAUGGAACAUGCGUAGCACUUGCUGAGGGACGACCCAGCGUUAUGGAUGUAGGAAUCCUGACUUUGCAUGCGGCAAGAGAGGUCA
This 292-nucleotide long non-coding RNA is filed under the name Coccomyxa subellipsoidea. Its description in RNAcentral is "long non-coding RNA (CSUB_LNC000263)". The record is from RNAcentral. Lineage: Eukaryota; Viridiplantae; Chlorophyta; Trebouxiophyceae; Coccomyxaceae.